GUCCGCGCUGUAAACGAUGAGUGCUAGACGGUGGAGGUAUUGACCCCUUCGCUGCCGAAGCUAACGCGUUAAGCACUCCGCCUGGGGAGUACGGUCGCAAGACUAAAACUCAAAGGAAUUGACGGGGGCCCGCACAAGCGGUGGAGCAUGUGGUUUAAUUCGACGCAACGCGCAAAACCUUACCUGGGUUAAAUCCGCCGGAAGCUGGCUGAAAGGCUGGUGUGCCCUUCGGGGAAUCGGUGAGAAGGUGCUGCAUGGCUGUCGU
RNAcentral lists this ribosomal RNA (265 nucleotides) under uncultured bacterium. RNAcentral describes it as "partial 16S ribosomal RNA". It matches the Rfam family "Bacterial small subunit ribosomal RNA", at positions 793 to 1055 of the family's 1533-position model. The record is from RNAcentral.